Molecule: long non-coding RNA, 523 nt
Filed under: Homo sapiens (human)
Lineage: Eukaryota; Metazoa; Chordata; Mammalia; Primates; Hominidae
Description: non-protein coding lnc-ITGB7-5:2
Source: RNAcentral
GAGUCACAGCCUGGCCACAGACAACUCAACUAGUCCCCCCAAAAGGCAGAAAGGAGAAAAGUGCCAGAGAGAAAAGAGUCAGUGUGCGGUUUGGGAGAAAAUGUGUCGGAUAUUUUGGGGCGGUCACGUGGGCGGGCGGGCUCCGAGAGGCCCCGGGACAGUCCCAGCCUAGAGCCGUGCCCCCCCAGGAGCCCCCCAGUACGGCGAGCCCCGGACAUUGCGACGCUCCAUCCAAGAGACUGCCCGACGCCGGGACCUCGGGGCUCCGCCGCCUCCCUUCCCCCUCCCACUCCAGUGGAAUGGGACAGCUUGGACAUCAGAAGGCAAGGAAAACGUCCAGAGGCAAGUGAGCCUGGCCCUCCGCGUCCAGGAGUUCCGAAGGACUGGUGCAUAGGAUAGGGAUCUGUGAACUUUCCUUGAAGCGCUGGAUUCCCUCCCACACGUUCCCAGCCCAGCAGCUACGGCCCAGUUCCCUCAACCUGACCCAGUAUGUAGAAGCCAGUCUCUGCAGGCGGCCAGCGGG